RNAcentral lists this ribosomal RNA (429 nucleotides) under Pseudomonadota bacterium. RNAcentral's name for it is "Proteobacteria bacterium partial 16S ribosomal RNA". It matches the Rfam family "Bacterial small subunit ribosomal RNA", at positions 355 to 776 of the family's 1533-position model. The record is from RNAcentral. Lineage: Bacteria; Pseudomonadati; Pseudomonadota.
UGGGGAAUAUUGGACAAUGGGCGAAAGCCUGAUCCAGCCAUGCCGCGUGUGUGAAGAAGGUCUUCGGAUUGUAAAGCACUUUAAGUUGGGAGGAAGGGCAGUAAGCGAAUACCUUGCUGUUUUGACGUUACCGACAGAAUAAGCACCGGCUAACUCUGUGCCAGCAGCCGCGGUAAUACAGAGGGUGCAAGCGUUAAUCGGAAUUACUGGGCGUAAAGCGCGCGUAGGUGGUUCGUUAAGUUGAAUGUGAAAGCCCCGGGCUCAACCUGGGAACUGCAUCCAAGACUGGCGAGCUAGAGUAGGGCAGAGGGUGGUGGAGUUUCCUGUGUAGCGGAGAAAUGCGUAGAUAUAGGAGGGAACACCAGUGGCGAAGGCGACCACCUGGGCUCAUACUGACACUGAGGUGCGAAAGCGUGGGGAGCAAACAGG